This 305-nucleotide ribosomal RNA is filed under the name uncultured bacterium. RNAcentral's name for it is "bacterial SSU rRNA". It matches the Rfam family "Bacterial small subunit ribosomal RNA", at positions 335 to 637 of the family's 1533-position model. The record is from RNAcentral.
AGUCCUACGGGACGCAGCAGUGAGGAAUAUUGGUCAAUGGGCGGGAGCCUGAACCAGCCAAGUCGCGUGAGGGAAGACGGUCCUAUGGAUUGUAAACCUCUUUAGGCGGGGCGCAAUGCCGGGCACGCGUGCCCGGAGGGAGAGUACCCGCAGAAUAAGCAUCGGCUAACCCCGUGCCAGCAGCCGUGGUAAUACGGAGGAUGCGAGCGUUAUCCGGAUUUAUUGGGUUUAAAGGGUGCGUAGGCGGAUUUUUAAGUCAGCGGUAAAAUCUCCGGGCCCAACCCGGGCCGGCCGUUGAAACGGGG